AGAGUUUGAUCAUGGCUCAGAAUGAACGUUGGCGGCGCGGAUUAGGCAUGCAAGUCGAGCGAGAAUUCCCCGCAAGGGGAAGGACAGCGGCGAAAGGGAGAGCAACACGUAGUUACCUACCCUCAGGACUGGGAUAGCUCCGGGAAACCGGAGGUAAUACCAGAUGACGUCUUCGGACCAAAGGUGUGAUUCCGCCUGAAGAGGGGACUGCGUCCUAUUAGCUAGUUGGUGAGGUAACGGCUCACCAAGGCAUUGAUGGGUACGGGGUGUGAGAGCAUGCCCCCGCUCACUGGGACUGAGACACUGCCCAGACACCUACGGGUGGCUGCAGUCGAGGAUCUUCGGCAAUGGGCGCAAGCCUGACCGAGCGACGCCGCGUGCGGGAUGAAGGCCUUCGGGUUGUAAACCGCCGUCGGAGUGGAGGAAAUUCCAGGGGGUUCUCCCCCUGGAUUGACUAAUACUCAGAGGAAGGACGGGCUAAGUUCGUGCCAGCAGCCGCGGUAAGACGAACCGUCCAAACGUUAUUCGGAAUCACUGGGCUUAAAGGGUGCGUAGGCGGCUCAGAAAGUAGGGUGUGAAAGCCCUCGGCUCAACCGAGGAAUUGCGCCCUAAACUACUGGGCUUGAGGAAGACAGAGGUAAGCGGAACUUAGGGUGGAGCGGUGAAAUGCGUUGAUAUCCUAAGGAACACCAGGAGCGAAAGCGGCUUACUGGGUCUUUUCUGACGCUGAGGCACGAAAGCUAGGGGAGCGAACGGGAUUAGAUACCCCGGUAGUCCUAGCCGUAAACGAUGAGCACUGGAUUGGAGGGUCCCCCAUAACCUUCCA
RNAcentral lists this ribosomal RNA (826 nucleotides) under uncultured bacterium. Its description in RNAcentral is "bacterial SSU rRNA". It matches the Rfam family "Bacterial small subunit ribosomal RNA", at positions 8 to 844 of the family's 1533-position model. The record is from RNAcentral.